Molecule: ribosomal RNA, 425 nt
Filed under: uncultured bacterium
Lineage: Bacteria
Description: bacterial SSU rRNA
Rfam family: Bacterial small subunit ribosomal RNA
Source: RNAcentral
AAUCAACGCUGGCGGCGUGCCUCAGACAUGCAAGUCGAACGAUUAAACUUUCCUUCGGGAAAGAUAUAAAGUGGCGCACGGGUGAGUAACACGUAAGUAAUCUACCUUCGAGUGGGGAAUAACGUCCGGAAACGGACGCUAAUACCGCAUAAUGCAGCGGCACCUUAUGGUGACAGUUGUUAAAGGAGCAAUUCGCUUGAAGAGGAGCUUGCGGCAGAUUAGCUAGUUGGAAGGUAACGGCUUACCAAGGCUACGAUCUGUAACCGGUCUAAGAGGACGGUCGGUCACACUGACACUGAAUAACGGGUCAGACUCCUACGGGAGGCAGCAGUCGGGAAUUUUGGGCAAUGGGCGAAAGCCUGACCCAGCAACGCCGCGUGAAGGAUGAAGUAUUUCGGUAUGUAAACUUCGAAAGAAUAGGGAAG